Clupea harengus (Atlantic herring) is the source of this 157-nucleotide long non-coding RNA. RefSeq lists it as uncharacterized. The transcript has 3 exons. NCBI's taxonomy places the organism in Eukaryota, Metazoa, Chordata, Actinopteri, Clupeiformes, Clupeidae. The record is from RefSeq and is a predicted model, not a curated record.
CCAGCAGAAGGCCAGUCACAGCACAAGCAGUUCGCUAGGUCCACAGUCUUUAGUUGGCUCAUAAGCACAGGUCCAGACCAGGUCCACAGUCUUUAGUUGGCUCAUAAGCACAGGUCCAGACUAAGAGCCAUUGUCUUCUGGAGAGAAUUCAGCCUCU